GACGAACGCUGGCGGCGUGCCUAAUACAUGCAAGUCGAACGAGAGCGACCGGUGCUUGCACUGGCCAAUCUAGUGGCGAACGGGUGAGUAACACGUGGGUAACCUGCCCAUCAGAGGGGGAUAACAUCCGGAAACGGAUGCUAAAACCGCAUAGGUCUUCGAACCGCAUGGUUUGAAGAGGAAAAGAGGCGCAAGCUUCUGCUGAUGGAUGGACCCGCGGUGCAUUAGCUAGUUGGUGAGGUAACGGCUCACCAAGGCCGUGAUGCAUAGCCGACCUGAGAGGGUGAUCGGCCACAUUGGGACUGAGACACGGCCCAAACUCCUACGGGAGGCAGCAGUAGGGAAUCUUCCGCAAUGGACGCAAGUCUGACGGAGCAACGCCGCGUGAGUGAAGAAGGUUUUCGGAUCGUAAAACUCUGUUGUUAGAGAAGAACAAGUGCUAGAGUAACCGUUAGCGCCUUGACGGUAUCUAACCAGAAAGCCACGGCUAACUACGUG
Molecule: ribosomal RNA, 498 nt
Filed under: uncultured bacterium
Lineage: Bacteria
Description: partial 16S ribosomal RNA
Rfam family: Bacterial small subunit ribosomal RNA
Source: RNAcentral